Molecule: ribosomal RNA, 2024 nt
Filed under: Staphylococcus aureus
Lineage: Bacteria; Bacillati; Bacillota; Bacilli; Caryophanales; Staphylococcaceae
Description: partial 23S ribosomal RNA
Rfam family: Bacterial large subunit ribosomal RNA
Source: RNAcentral
UGAUUAUUGGAGGUAGAGCACUGUUUGGACGAGGGGCCCCUCUCGGGUUACCGAAUUCAGACAAACUCCGAAUGCCAAUUAAUUUAACUUGGGAGUCAGAACAUGGGUGAUAAGGUCCGUGUUCGAAAGGGAAACAGCCCAGACCACCAGCUAAGGUCCCAAAAUAUAUGUUAAGUGGAAAAGGAUGUGGCGUUGCCCAGACAACUAGGAUGUUGGCUUAGAAGCAGCCAUCAUUUAAAGAGUGCGUAAUAGCUCACUAGUCGAGUGACACUGCGCCGAAAAUGUACCGGGGCUAAACAUAUUACCGAAGCUGUGGAUUGUCCUUUGGACAAUGGUAGGAGAGCGUUCUAAGGGCGUUGAAGCAUGAUCGUAAGGACAUGUGGAGCGCUUAGAAGUGAGAAUGCCGGUGUGAGUAGCGAAAGACGGGUGAGAAUCCCGUCCACCGAUUGACUAAGGUUUCCAGAGGAAGGCUCGUCCGCUCUGGGUUAGUCGGGUCCUAAGCUGAGGCCGACAGGCGUAGGCGAUGGAUAACAGGUUGAUAUUCCUGUACCACCUAUAAUCGUUUUAAUCGAUGGGGGGACGCAGUAGGAUAGGCGAAGCGUGCGAUUGGAUUGCACGUCUAAGCAGUAAGGCUGAGUAUUAGGCAAAUCCGGUACUCGUUAAGGCUGAGCUGUGAUGGGGAGAAGACAUUGUGUCUUCGAGUCGUUGAUUUCACACUGCCGAGAAAAGCCUCUAGAUAGAAAAUAGGUGCCCGUACCGCAAACCGACACAGGUAGUCAAGAUGAGAAUUCUAAGGUGAGCGAGCGAACUCUCGUUAAGGAACUCGGCAAAAUGACCCCGUAACUUCGGGAGAAGGGGUGCUCUUUAGGGUUAACGCCCAGAAGAGCCGCAGUGAAUAGGCCCAAGCGACUGUUUAUCAAAAACACAGGUCUCUGCUAAACCGUAAGGUGAUGUAUAGGGGCUGACGCCUGCCCGGUGCUGGAAGGUUAAGAGGAGUGGUUAGCUUCUGCGAAGCUACGAAUCGAAGCCCCAGUAAACGGCGGCCGUAACUAUAACGGUCCUAAGGUAGCGAAAUUCCUUGUCGGGUAAGUUCCGACCCGCACGAAAGGCGUAACGAUUUGGGCACUGUCUCAACGAGAGACUCGGUGAAAUCAUAGUACCUGUGAAGAUGCAGGUUACCCGCGACAGGACGGAAAGACCCCGUGGAGCUUUACUGUAGCCUGAUAUUGAAAUUCGGCACAGCUUGUACAGGAUAGGUAGGAGCCUUUGAAACGUGAGCGCUAGCUUACGUGGAGGCGCUGGUGGGAUACUACCCUAGCUGUGUUGGCUUUCUAACCCGCACCACUUAUCGUGGUGGGAGACAGUGUCAGGCGGGCAGUUUGACUGGGGCGGUCGCCUCCUAAAAGGUAACGGAGGCGCUCAAAGGUUCCCUCAGAAUGGUUGGAAAUCAUUCAUAGAGUGUAAAGGCAUAAGGGAGCUUGACUGCGAGACCUACAAGUCGAGCAGGGUCGAAAGACGGACUUAGUGAUCCGGUGGUUCCGCAUGGAAGGGCCAUCGCUCAACGGAUAAAAGCUACCCCGGGGAUAACAGGCUUAUCUCCCCCAAGAGUUCACAUCGACGGGGAGGUUUGGCACCUCGAUGUCGGCUCAUCGCAUCCUGGGGCUGUAGUCGGUCCCAAGGGUUGGGCUGUUCGCCCAUUAAAGCGGUACGCGAGCUGGGUUCAGAACGUCGUGAGACAGUUCGGUCCCUAUCCGUCGUGGGCGUAGGAAAUUUGAGAGGAGCUGUCCUUAGUACGAGAGGACCGGGAUGGACAUACCUCUGGUGUACCAGUUGUCGUGCCAACGGCAUAGCUGGGUAGCUAUGUGUGGACGGGAUAAGUGCUGAAAGCAUCUAAGCAUGAAGCCCCCCUCAAGAUGAGAUUUCCCAACUUCGGUUAUAAGAUCCCUCAAAGAUGAUGAGGUUAAUAGGUUCGAGGUGGAAGCAUGGUGACAUGUGGAGCUGACGAAUACUAAUCGAUCGAAGAC